AGAACCACGGAAUCCAGGGGUGCCUAGCACCUUCACUCGGGUUAAUAAACUUCCUUAUUCAGAGUUUCUGGUUCGCAGACUUCAAAAGAAAGUAAAAUUUUCCUCAAUUUGGGAUUUUAAAAUAACCCGGUGACUUGGGACACCAGAAAAUAAACCAUCACAAGUGGAGACUCUGAACAAAAAUAAAUAAAAAGCCCAUUUCGAAUAAUGUAACUUAAAUUGGAAAAAUUCCCUUAUAUACGCUCAUUCAUGUUGUGUGUACAAAAAGAGGUAUGACAAAAGGUGAGUUAAAUUAGC
RNAcentral lists this long non-coding RNA (297 nucleotides) under Nicotiana benthamiana. RNAcentral's name for it is "long non-coding RNA (NBEN_LNC004710)". The record is from RNAcentral. Lineage: Eukaryota; Viridiplantae; Streptophyta; Magnoliopsida; Solanales; Solanaceae.